CCGAAGCAGGCUCCAGGCUCUGAGCUGUCAGCACAGAGCCCAAUGCGGGGCUCAAAUUCACAGACCACGAGAUCAUGACCUGAGUCAAAGUCAGAUAGAUGCUCAACAGACUGAGCCACUCAGGCACCCCAGAAUUUUUCUAACUUUCCACGUAAGGAAAAGAGAUUCACAUUAUUGGUACAUAUAGGCUUCCAAGUUGCAGUGAUAGAAAAAAACACCUCUUUCUGUGUUUUUAUUUCCCCAAAGUGUCUUUUGUGUUAUAGUGUGUUUAGUCCUUGGACCUGGAUCACUGAAUCAAAAUUUUUAGAAUUCCUUUCCAUAAAAAUAAUCUGGGUAGCUUCUUUAAAAAUGCCAAAUUUAGAUCUACUUCCUGAUGAUUCUAAUUUGAGGGGGGUAAAUGGGAUCUUUUUUUACAUAUGUGAUUUUGGGACAUCUGGGUGGCUUAGUCUGUUAAGUGGCCAACUCUUGAUUUUGGCUCAGGUCAUGAUCUCCCAGUUACUGGGAUCAAGCCCUGUGCUGUCAUUGCAGAGCCUUCUCGGGAUUCUCUCCUUCCUUCUCUCUCUGCCCCUCCUCUACUCACAAGUGCAGAUGCACAAGAAUGUUCUCUGUCUCUUUCUCUCUACCCCUACCCCACUCGCAUGUUCUCUCUCUCUCUCUCUCUCAAAAAUAAAUAACAUUAAACAAAAGAGUCCAUAUGUGAUUAUAAUGGAUGUCACUUGAAAGACACUUUGACAAACACUGAAAUGAAUGGAAGGAUGCACUUUGAAGCUUAUAUUUUCAUACAGGUAGUAUUCUUUAUACUUGAGUUCCCUAGUAACGUUUCUCCUUAUCUUGGCUUUUCUUCUUGUGUACAUCCAGCAUCAGUAGAAUCACUGAAUCCUGAAGACAAUGGCCUCGAAAGGAGAGAGCAUGAACAACUAGCACGAAGUGAAUACGGGCAUAUUCACAAAUGGAUUAAAAUGCGCGGAUAAAGAAACAAAAGUAAAAUGAAAGGAAAAUGGCAUCCAGGAGGACAAGGAAACUCAAAGAAUCUCCCAGUGUGACUCAGUUUGAAAUAGCUUCAAAAGUUUCAGCCAGCUUGAAUGCACAGGCCAGCUAAGGAAACCAGUGGGAAUCCAGGUUCUUCUGCAUGGGCUUGGUUUAUAGCCCAGGAGAGACAAGCAGAGCCAGAAGAAGGGGAAAUGAAGGAUAGAGUGAUGAGCAGGAGCUCAAGAGAGUGUUGAUGCCAGUGUCGGAUAAAAUCGAGGACACGAGCCAAUGCGCUAGUUCUAACAAGACUCAGUAAGUUUGCGCUUGUGUCGGGCUCUGCACCAAGCAGUGGUGAAGUAGAGCUAGGACCCUCAUCUUCACAGUCUAGCUAGUUAGAAAAAGACACACAAAGGACUCACAAUAAUGCAGUGUGAACAUUCUUACAAAAGGAGUAUUUAUGAAGCAAGUAAGGGUCCAGAAGAGGUGGUGAUUAAUUGAAUGAUUUUUCAUAUACAUUUUUGACUAGUAAUUCCAUUGAUGUGAAAUAAUAGCUUGAUGAACACAGUUGUAUACUUUCUGUAAUAGAUACUGAAGACAUGCCAUUAGUUCUUAUCACCAACAUGAUACUUUACACCAAGCUCUCUAAAAUUCUGCCUUGAACUAUCAGCAAUAGCCAAAUUAUGGAGAGUCCAAAUACCCAUCCACUGGAUGGAUAUAUA
This is a long non-coding RNA of Acinonyx jubatus (cheetah), 1688 nucleotides long. RefSeq lists it as uncharacterized. Lineage: Eukaryota; Metazoa; Chordata; Mammalia; Carnivora; Felidae. The record is from RefSeq and is a predicted model, not a curated record. The transcript has 4 exons.